RNAcentral lists this ribosomal RNA (428 nucleotides) under uncultured bacterium. RNAcentral describes it as "partial 16S ribosomal RNA". It matches the Rfam family "Bacterial small subunit ribosomal RNA", at positions 354 to 796 of the family's 1533-position model. The record is from RNAcentral.
GUCGAGAAUCUUCCGCAAUGCGCGAAAGCGUGACGGAGCGACACCGCGUGAUGGAUGAAGUCCUUCGGGGCGUAAACAUCUUUUAUAAAGGAGGAAAUUUUUGAUGUUACUUUAUGAAUAAGGGGCUCCCAAUCUCGUGCCAGCAGGAGCGGUAAUACGAGAGCCUCAAGCGUUAUCCGGAAGCAUUGGGCGUAAAGGGUGCGUAGGUGGGUUGAUGAGUCUCCCGUUAAAACUUCGAGCUUAACUCGAAAAGGGCGUGAGAAACGGUCAAACUAGAGUAUGUGAGAGUUGUGUGGAACUCAUGGUGUAGGGGUGAAAUCCGUUGAUAUCAUGGGGAACACCAAAAGCGAAGGCAGCACACUGGCACAUCACUGACACUGAGGCACGAAACCUAAGGUAGCGAAUGGGAUUAGAUACCCGGGUAGUCC